CAUGGUCUAGCUUGCUAGACUGAUGGCGAGUGGCGGACGGGUGAGUAACGCGUAGGAAUAUGCCUUAAGAGGGGAUAACUUGGGGAAACUCAAGCUAAUACCGCAUAAGCUCCGAGGAGUAAAGCUGGGGACCUUCGGGCCUGGCGCUUUAAGAAUAGCCUGCGUACGAUUAGCUAGUUGGUGGGGUAAAGGCCUACCAAGGCGACGAUCGCUAGCUGGUCUGAGAAGAUGGCCAGCCACACUGGGACUGAGACACGGCCCAGACUCC
Molecule: ribosomal RNA, 268 nt
Filed under: uncultured bacterium
Lineage: Bacteria
Description: partial 16S ribosomal RNA
Rfam family: Bacterial small subunit ribosomal RNA
Source: RNAcentral